Molecule: long non-coding RNA, 288 nt
Organism: Drosophila miranda
Lineage: Eukaryota; Metazoa; Arthropoda; Insecta; Diptera; Drosophilidae
Exons: 3
Source: RefSeq, a predicted model, not a curated record
UUGAAUCCCAUUCGGGGACAGUUCCCAAUAAAACGUGAGGAAGAGCUUAUAGCACUGGAAGAAAAAAUAAAAUUAAAUAGGGACAUUUAUAUAACAGCAAUGAAAUCAAUUCUCCAGCCAGCUGGCGUUUUGAGCGGCUUGAACUUUAUUUUGAGUGAGGACAUUGUUCUGGCAUAUAACGUCGAUGGGGUCCAAGGGAAGAAGGCCCUUAGGACCCACAAAGAAUUUUUUGCAGCUUUGCUAUAAUGUAUUUCGCCUGGCGAUGAGCCCCCCGAAAACACUGUGCGG